Cercocebus atys (sooty mangabey) is the source of this 303-nucleotide long non-coding RNA. RefSeq lists it as uncharacterized. The record is from RefSeq and is a predicted model, not a curated record. NCBI's taxonomy places the organism in Eukaryota, Metazoa, Chordata, Mammalia, Primates, Cercopithecidae. The transcript is spliced from 3 exons.
CAAAAAUUGGGCAAAGGAUAUGAACAGACACUUCUCAAAAGAAGACAUUUGUGCAGCCAACAGAUAUAUGAAAAAAGGCAUCGCUGCCUUUUUACCAUGGUGGGAAAUGUGAAAUUAUCGUUAUCCAGGAAUGGCAUCUGUGACAAUAAAGAAGAUGAAAAGAUGAUUCCUAGACCAAAAUAAGAAGAGAUGAUGUCUGGAUAUUUGCCCUGAUUUGACAAUAAGUAAAUUUAGCUGACCACUGAUACAGAGACCAAAAUCCCACUCAAAUCAAAGAAUACCUGAGACUUGGUAAUUUAUAAA